UGGUCCAGUGGUUAGGAUUUGGUGUUUUCACUGCCAAGGGCCCAGGUUCAAUCCCUGG
This 58-nucleotide transfer RNA is filed under the name Bos taurus (domestic cattle). It matches the Rfam family "tRNA", at positions 8 to 63 of the family's 71-position model. From Rfam's summary of the family: Transfer RNA (tRNA) molecules are approximately 80 nucleotides in length. RNAcentral also lists the same sequence under 2 other names. The record is from Rfam by way of RNAcentral. Lineage: Eukaryota; Metazoa; Chordata; Mammalia; Artiodactyla; Bovidae.